UGCUUAAUAUUUGGAGUGACUAAAAUUAAUGGCCUGUAACUCGUCUCACUUGACAAAUGUAAUAAAAGCAAGAGAAAUUGGAUGUGGUUGAAUUUUCCCCUGUGGUUACUACCAUGGCUAAUUCACAAAUUCAUGUUGAAAACUGAAAUGUAGUAGUACUAGAAGCCAUUCUUAAAGCAAUAACUAUGAUAGUUGUAUGCUAUAUCCUUAUUUCUUUUCUUUUUUUUUCCUUAUCCUAAUUUCUUUAUACAAGCAUCCAGUUCUGAGGAUCAGGGCUAUAUAAUAGUCAAAAUUUAAUAUAUCAUAUUCUUAGUUUUACAUUUACAAAGAA
This is a long non-coding RNA of Perognathus longimembris pacificus (Pacific pocket mouse), 331 nucleotides long. RefSeq lists it as uncharacterized. The transcript has 3 exons. The record is from RefSeq and is a predicted model, not a curated record. Lineage: Eukaryota; Metazoa; Chordata; Mammalia; Rodentia; Heteromyidae.